RNAcentral lists this long non-coding RNA (747 nucleotides) under Medicago truncatula (barrel medic). Its description in RNAcentral is "long non-coding RNA (MTRU_LNC004859)". Lineage: Eukaryota; Viridiplantae; Streptophyta; Magnoliopsida; Fabales; Fabaceae. The record is from RNAcentral.
AGCCAGCAGUGAUUUCCCUCCAAGGAGUAGAAAAGGUAUCCAAGAUAGUAGAUGUAUUGAAAAAUACUACACAUAAUGGUUUCCCGGUGAUGGAUGAUGGGGUAGUGCCACCAGUAGGACAGGUCAAUGGGGCAACGGAACUGCAUGGACUAAUUUUAAGAGCUCACCUUAUCCAAGCAUUAAAGAAGAGGUUCUUCUUGAAAGAGAGAAGAAGAACAGAGGAAUGGGAAGUGAGAGAGAAAUUUACCUGGGUAGAGCUGGCCGAGAGAGAAGGGAAAAUUGAAGAGGUGGCUAUAACAAGGGAAGAAAUGGAGAUGUUUGUUGAUCUACAUCCUCUCACCAAUACAACUCCAUUUACUGUGCUAGAGAGCAUAUCAGUUGCAAAGGCAAUGAUCCUCUUCAGGCAAGUUGGACUUCGUCAUCUGCUUGUAGUUCCGAAAUAUCAGGCAUCAGGGGUAAGUAUUUUUAACAUACUAGUAAAUAUCAUUACUAUUCAAACAUGAAUUAGAUAUUUUUAUAUUUUUUCUAGUAGCAUAUCAGGUGCAACAUAAAACUCAUGGCUAAUAUUUAAUUAUUCAAAAUGAUCAUACGUGACUAACCAAAUCAUGUGAUCUCACAGGUAUGCCCUGUAAUCGGGAUAUUGACCAGACAGGAUCUACUGGCCUACAACAUUCUGACGGUCUUUCCUCACCUGGCAAAAUCUAAGAACAGACAGAAGAGAAAUUGAAGAUUUCCUAGUCAUGGAAU